AGAUUGAACGCUGGCGGCAGGCCUAACACAUGCAAGUCGAGCGGUAGAGAGGUGCUUGCACCUCUUGAGAGCGGCGGACGGGUGAGUAAUGCCUAGGAAUCUGCCUAGUGGUGGGGGAUAACGUUCGGAAACGGACGCUAAUACCGCAUACGUCCUACGGGAGAAAGCGGGGGACCUUCGGGCCUCGCGCCAUUAGAUGAGCCUAGGUCGGAUUAGCUAGUUGGUGAGGUAAUGGCUCACCAAGGCGACGAUCCGUAACUGGUCUGAGAGGAUGAUCAGUCACACUGGAACUGAGACACGGUCCAGACUCCUACGGGAGCAGCAGUGGGGAAUAUUGGACAAUGGGCGAAAGCCUGAUCCAGCCAUGCCGCGUGUGGGAAGAAGGUCGUUCGGAUUGUAAAGCACUUUAAGUUGGAGUAAGGUUGUAACUUAAUACGUUGACUAACGUUUGACGUUACCGAACAGAAGUAAGACCACCGACUAACGUUCG
RNAcentral lists this ribosomal RNA (490 nucleotides) under uncultured soil bacterium. RNAcentral's name for it is "bacterial SSU rRNA". It matches the Rfam family "Bacterial small subunit ribosomal RNA", at positions 26 to 509 of the family's 1533-position model. The record is from RNAcentral.